AGUGGGGAAUUUUGGACAAUGGGCGAAAGCCUGAUCCAGCAAUGCCGCGUGUGUGAAGAAGGCCUUCGGGUUGUAAAGCACUUUUGUCCGGAAAGAAAUGGCUCUGGUUAAUACCUGGGGUCGAUGACGGUACCGGAAGAAUAAGGACCGGCUAACUACGUGCCAGCAGCCGCGGUAAUACGUAGGGUCCAAGCGUUAAUCGGAAUUACUGGGCGUAAAGCGUGCGCAGGCGGUUGUGCAAGACCGAUGUGAAAUCCCCGAGCUUAACUUGGGAAUUGCAUUGGUGACUGCACGGCUGGAGUGUGGCAGAGGGGGGUGGAAUUCCACGUGUAGCAGUGAAAUGCGUAGAGAUGUGGAGGAAUACCGAUGGCGAAGGCAGCCCCCUGGGAUAACACUGACGCUCAUGCACGAAAGCGUGGGGAGCAAACAGGAUUAGAUACCC
RNAcentral lists this ribosomal RNA (442 nucleotides) under Corynebacterium amycolatum. RNAcentral's name for it is "bacterial SSU rRNA". It matches the Rfam family "Bacterial small subunit ribosomal RNA", at positions 353 to 787 of the family's 1533-position model. The record is from RNAcentral. Lineage: Bacteria; Bacillati; Actinomycetota; Actinomycetes; Mycobacteriales; Corynebacteriaceae.